UAAAGUCAAAGAUUUAUCGGUAUGGGAUGGGCCCGCGUCUGAUUAGCUAGUUGGUGAGGUAAUGGCUCACCAAGGCGACGAUCAGUAGCCGACCUGAGAGGGUGAUCGGCCACACUGGAACUGAGACACGGUCCAGACUCCUACGGGAGGCAGCAGUGGGGAAUAUUGCACAAUGGGCGAAAGCCUGAUGCAGCAACGCCGCGUGAGCGAUGAAGGCCUUCGGGUCGUAAAGUUGUCCUAAGGGAAGAAUAAAUGACGGUACCUUAGGAGGAAGCCCCGGCUAACUACGUGCCAGCAGCCGCGGUAAUACGUAGGGGGCAAGCGUUAUCCGGAAUCACUGGGCGUAAAGGGAGCGUAGGCGGCCAAUCAAGUCUGAGGUGAAAGGCUACGGCUUAACCGUAGUAAGCCUUGGAAACUGGUUGGCUUGAGUGCAGGAGAGGAGAGUGGAAUUCCUAGUGUAGCGGUGAAAUGCGUAGAUAUUAGGAGGAACACCAGUGGCGAAGGCGACUCUCUGGACUGUAACUGACGCUGAGGCACGAAAGCGUGGGGAGCAAACAGGAUUAGAUACCCUGGUAGUCCACGCUGUAAACGAUGAGUGCUAGGUGUCGGACGCAAGGUUUCGGUGCCGCAGUUAACGCACUAAGUGCUCCGCCUGGGGAGUACGCACGCAAGUGUGAAACUCAAAGGAAUUGACGGGGACCCGCACAAGCAGCGGAGCAUGUGGUUUAAUUCGAAGCAACGCGAAGAACCUUACCAGGACUUGACAUCCCUCUGACAGCUCUUUAAUAGGAGAAUUCCCUUCGGGGACAAGGAGACAGGUGGUGCAUGGUUGUCGUCAGCUCGUGUCGUGAGAUGUUGGGUUAAGUCCCGCAACGAGCGCAACCCUUAUCUUUAGUAGCCAGCACGUAACGGUGGGAACUCUAGAGAGACUGCCGAGGAUAACUCGGAGGAAGGUGGGGAUGACGUCAAAUCAUCAUGCCCCUUAUGAUCUGGGCUACACACGUGCUACAAUGGCGAUAACAAAGGGAAGCAAAAGGGUGACCUCUAGCAAACCCCAGAAAAGUCGUCCCAGUUCGGAUUGUAGUCUGCAACUCGACUACAUGAAGUUGGAAUCGCUAGUAAUCGCGAAUCAGAAUGUCGCGGUGAAUACGUUCCCGGGUCUUGUACACACCGCCCGUCACACCAUGGGAGUUGGAAGCGCCCGAAGCCAGUGACUCAACCGCAAGGAGAGAGCUGUCGAAGGUGAAGCCAAUGACUGGGGUGAAGUCGUAACAAGGUAACCA
RNAcentral lists this ribosomal RNA (1283 nucleotides) under uncultured bacterium. RNAcentral's name for it is "bacterial SSU rRNA". It matches the Rfam family "Bacterial small subunit ribosomal RNA", at positions 196 to 1502 of the family's 1533-position model. The record is from RNAcentral.